This 406-nucleotide ribosomal RNA is filed under the name uncultured bacterium. RNAcentral describes it as "partial 16S ribosomal RNA". It matches the Rfam family "Bacterial small subunit ribosomal RNA", at positions 30 to 526 of the family's 1533-position model. The record is from RNAcentral.
AUUGAACGCUGGCGGCAGGCCUAACACAUGCAAGUCGAGCGAGCGGCGGACGGGUGAGUAAUGUAUGGGAAACUGCCUGAGGGAGGGGGAUAACUACUGGCAAAGGUUGCUAAUACCGCAUACCAUCAGAUAUGUCCAGAUGGGAUUAGCUGGUAGGUGGGGUAAAGGCUCACCUAGGCGACGAUCCCUAGCUGGUCUGAGAGGAUGACCAGCCACACUGGAACGGAGAUACGGUCCAGAGUCCUACGGGCGGCAGCAGUGGGUAUUAUUGCACAAUGGGCGCAAGCCUGAUGCAGCCAUGCCGCGUGUAUGAAGAAGGCCUUCGGGUUGUAAAGUACUGUCAGCGGGGAGGCGUUACCCGCAGAAGAAGCACCGGCUAACUCCGUGCCAGCCGCCGCGGUAAUAC